GACAGAGGGUGCAAACGUUGUUCGGAAUUACUGGGCGUAAAGGGCUCGUAGGCGGCCAACUAAGUCAGACGUGAAAUCCCUCGGCUUAACCGGGGAACUGCGUCUGAUACUGGAUGGCUCGAGUUUGGGAGAGGGAUGCGGAAUUCCAGGUGUAGCGGUGAAAUGCGUAGAUAUCUGGAGGAACACCGGUGGCGAAGGCGGCAUCCUGGACCAACACUGACGCUGAUGAGCGAAAGCCAGGGGAGCAAACGGG
Molecule: ribosomal RNA, 253 nt
Filed under: uncultured bacterium
Lineage: Bacteria
Description: partial 16S ribosomal RNA
Rfam family: Bacterial small subunit ribosomal RNA
Source: RNAcentral